UACGUAGGGUGCAAGCGUUACUCGGAAUUCCUGGGCGUAAAGCGUGCGCAGGCGGCUUUGCAAGACAGCUGUGAAAUCCCCGGGCUCAACCUGGGAACUGCAUUUGUGACUGCAAGGCUAGAGUACGGUAGAGGGGGAUGGAAUUCCGCGUGUAGCAGUGAAAUGCGUAGAUAUGCGUAGGAACACCGAUGGCGAAGGCAAUCCCCUGGACCUGUACUGACGCUCAUGCACGAAAGCGUGGGGAGCAAACAGG
RNAcentral lists this ribosomal RNA (253 nucleotides) under uncultured bacterium. RNAcentral's name for it is "partial 16S ribosomal RNA". It matches the Rfam family "Bacterial small subunit ribosomal RNA", at positions 524 to 776 of the family's 1533-position model. The record is from RNAcentral.